RNAcentral lists this ribosomal RNA (496 nucleotides) under Diaporthe sp. Eu010. RNAcentral's name for it is "eukaryotic LSU rRNA". The stretch from base 178 to 331 matches the Rfam family "5.8S ribosomal RNA". Lineage: Eukaryota; Fungi; Ascomycota; Sordariomycetes; Diaporthales; Diaporthaceae. The record is from RNAcentral.
CUGGAACGCGCCCCAGGCGCACCCAGAAACCCUUUGUGAACUUAUACCUUACUGUUGCCUCGGCGCAUGCUGGUCCUCCGGGGCCCCUCACCCCCGGGUGUUGAGACGGCACGCCGGCGGCCAACCCAACUCUUGUUUUUACACUGAAACUCUGAGCACAAAACAUAAAUGAAUCAAAACUUUCAACAACGGAUCUCUUGGUUCUGGCAUCGAUGAAGAACGCAGCGAAAUGCGAUAAGUAAUGUGAAUUGCAGAAUUCAGUGAAUCAUCGAAUCUUUGAACGCACAUUGCGCCCUCUGGUAUUCCGGAGGGCAUGCCUGUUCGAGCGUCAUUUCAACCCUCAAGCCUGGCUUGGUGAUGGGGCACUGCUUCUUACCCGAGAAGCAGGCCCUGAAAUUCAGUGGCGAGCUCGCCAGGACCCCGAGCGCAGUAGUUAAACCCUCGCUCUGGAAGGCCCUGGCGGUGCCCUGCCGUUAAACCCCCAACUUCUGAAAAU